Molecule: ribosomal RNA, 253 nt
Filed under: uncultured bacterium
Lineage: Bacteria
Description: partial 16S ribosomal RNA
Rfam family: Bacterial small subunit ribosomal RNA
Source: RNAcentral
UACGUAGGGUGCGAGCGUUAAUCGGAAUUACUGGGCGUAAAGCGUGCGCAGGCGGCGCGUUAAGACAGGUGUGAAAGCCCCGAGCUUAACUUGGGAAUUGCGCUUGUGACUGGCGUGCUGGAGUGUGGCAGAGGGAGGUGGAAUUCCACGUGUAGCAGUGAAAUGCGUAGAGAUGUGGAGGAACACCGAUGGUGAAGGCGGCUUCCUGGCCUGUAACUGACGCUGAGACGCGAAAGCGUGGGGAGCGAACCGG